UACGUAGGGGGCUAGCGUUGUCCGGAAUCAUUGGGCGUAAAGAGCGUGUAGGCGGCUUGGUAAGUCCGCUGUGAAAGUCCAGGGCUCAACCCUGGAAAGCCAGUGGAUACUGUCAAGCUAGAGUCCGGAAGAGGCGAGUGGAAUUCCGGGUGUAGUGGUGAAAUGCGUAGAGAUCCGGAGGAACACCAGUGGCGAAGGCGGCUCGCUGGGCUCUACCUGACGCUGAGGCGCGAAAGCGUGGGGAGCGAACCGG
Molecule: ribosomal RNA, 253 nt
Filed under: uncultured bacterium
Lineage: Bacteria
Description: partial 16S ribosomal RNA
Rfam family: Bacterial small subunit ribosomal RNA
Source: RNAcentral